Molecule: RNA transcript, 1672 nt
Organism: Gallus gallus (chicken)
Lineage: Eukaryota; Metazoa; Chordata; Aves; Galliformes; Phasianidae
Gene name: cathepsin L1-like
Exons: 9
Source: RefSeq, marked validated
AGAGACAGAUAAGUCACUCCCUUCAGAGCUGGGUGGGUGCCGGUACAUGUUCAGGGCCAUGACUGUGCCACUGGGGCUGCUGCUGGCCCUGUUGGGCUGCACCACGGCACUGGACCCUGUACUGGAGGAGGCCUGGGAAAGGUGGAAGAGCCUUUAUGCCAAGGAAUACCCUGGGGAGGCUGAGCUCAUCCGCAGGGAGGUCUGGGAGAACAACCUGCGGCGCAUUGAGCAGCACAACUGGGAGGAGUCGCAGGGGCAGCAUACAUUCCGCCUGGGAAUGAACCAUUACGGGGACCUGAUGGACGAGGAGUUCAACCAACUCCUGAAUGGCUUUGCCCCAGUGCAGCAUGAGGAGCCAGCACUGACCUUCCAGGCAUCGGCAGCUCAGAAGACCCCAGCAGAAGUGGACUGGCGAAUGAGAGGCUACGUGACACCCGUGAAGAACCAGGGGCACUGUGGGUCAUGCUGGGCAUUCAGUGCCACAGGGGCCCUGGAAGGACUCGUCUUCAAUUGGACGGGGAAGCUGGCAGUGCUGAGUGAGCAGAACCUCAUUGACUGCUCCCGGAAGCUGGGCAACAACGGUUGCCAAGGUGGCUACAUGACCCGUGCCUUCCAGUAUGUGCAUGAUAACGGUGGCAUGAACUCAGAGCACAUCUACCCCUACCAGGCCACAGACACCUCCAGCUGCCGAUACAACCCUGCGGACAGGGCAGCCAACUGCUCCACGGUCUGGCUGGUGGCCCAGGGCAGUGAGGCAGCGCUGGAGCAGGCAGUUGCAACUGUGGGCCCCGUGUCUGUGGCAGUGGAUGCCAGCAGCUUCUUCUUUCACUUCUACAAAUCAGGCAUCUUCAACAGUAUGUUUUGCAGCCAGAAGGUGAACCAUGGGAUGUUGGCUGUGGGCUAUGGCAUCAGCCAGGAAGCCAGGAAGAACGUGAGCUACUGGAUCUUAAAGAAUAGCUGGUCGGAGGUGUGGGGUGAGAAGGGCUACAUCCGCCUGCUGAAGGGAGUUAACAACCACUGUGGGGUGGCCAACCAGGCCAGCUUCCCUCUGCUGUGAGCUCCUGCACUGGGAGGAAGAUGGCGCUCGCUGGGAUUGCUCCCCUGCCUUGCUGUGAUGAUAGGGAUGCUUCCUUCUGGAAGGGGCUUUUGUCUGUGUGUGCUCCCUCUGCACAAUGGUUGGUGAGAGGAGCUUUCUCUGCCCUUCAUAAAAUCGCAGAGCGGUUUGUGCUGAAAGGGACCUCUCAAGGCUAUCUUGUCCUAGUCUCUGCAACAACCAGGGAUGCCUACAGCCCAAUCAGGUGCUUUUCCUUCCAGCUGAAUCUCAAAUGCAGAGCUCUGAGAUUUUUUGGCCAUAACUGCAGCUCUCUAACCCAAACAUUAUCCCUCCUAACCCAGCUCUUUAUUAAGUAGCUCCUUACCAAAGGGCUAGGCAAAACAAACAAACAACAACAACAACAACAAAAAACCUACACUUCCUUCACCUCCUGCUGCUUAUUUCUGUGUCCAUCAACUACUGUGGGGAUUUGCUCCCUAUGAGCACAAACAAGGCCAUAGUAAGGGGGAACACAACCCUGAAAUGGCCACUUUAGGGACAGGGCAGAGCAGGUGGGAUGGCCCCAGGGGCACUGUCCAGGUAGACACUGUCAUUUUGUCCAAUAUCCCAAUGGCUCCU